Molecule: long non-coding RNA, 942 nt
Organism: Fundulus heteroclitus (mummichog)
Lineage: Eukaryota; Metazoa; Chordata; Actinopteri; Cyprinodontiformes; Fundulidae
Exons: 3
Source: RefSeq, a predicted model, not a curated record
ACUCUUUCCGUCAUCGCCCCACUGCUCGCCCUGCUUCAGGAUGCCUUCACCCCCAGCCUAGAAGACAGCGCUGUAGUCAGGGACUUAAAAGCUGCUGUAAAGAAUAACUUGGGGACAAGAUAUGAUGGACAAAAGGACACCUUGUAUGCAGCGUCCGCGCUGGAUCCUCGCUUUAAGGCCCUUCCAUUCCUGUCUGCUUCAGAACAAAAUGACACCUUCUCCAGGCUGCAGGCUGAGGCUGCCACUGCUGCACGUGAUCAAGAUGGUGGCAAUGAUACUGAUAAAGAAGCUGAGGAUACUUUGCCCAAGAAGCCAAAGAAAUCCAGCACCUUGGAGUCUCUCCUUGGGACAGUCUAUUCAACAACAGUAAAAGAUCAGGGACUGAAAACUCCAGCAAUAAGGGCUGAAGAUGAAGUUAGAAGAUACAAAGCUGAAAAUCCUGCUGGGCUGAAUGAAAAUCCUUUGAUCUGGUGGAAGUUAAACGAAAGGGAAUAUCCACUGUUGGCUCGCCUUGCAAGGCAUUAUCUUUGUGUCCCAGGGACCAGUAUUGCAUCAGAGAGGGUAUUUUCAACAGCUGGUGACAUUGUCACGGCAAAAAAGGAGCUGCCUAAGCACAGAUCAUGUAAAUGAACUUAUUUUUCUCCACAAGAAUCUCACAAUUAAUGAGAAGUGAAAAGAAAGAAUAAUUUGACUUAGCAGUUCAACUUAUUUUGUAUUUAUUUGCCAGUAUUUUUUGGCCCUUAAAAUAGAAAAUCCCUUGAUGCAAAUUGCAGUGUUUAGUUAAAAAGUAAAUACUUUUAUUUAUACAAAUUUGCACUUUUGAGACAGUUUUGUUUACAAGUCUGCACUUUGUUUGCACUUUGUUUAAUGUGAAGUGAAAAAAUAAAAUACAUGUGUAUUUCGCAACACAGUUGAGCCACUUUUAUUAUUGUAAGAGCAGAU